UGGCGGACGGGUGAGUAAUGCAUCGGAACGUGCCCAGUCGUGGGGGAUAACACAUCGAAAGAUGUGCUAAUACCGCAUACGUCCUGAGGGAGAAAGCGGGGGAAUCUUCGGAUCCUCGCGCGAUUGGAGCGGCCGAUGUCAGAUUAGCUAGUAGGUGGGGUAAAGGCCCACCUAGGCGACGAUCUGUAGCGGGUCUGAGAGGAUGAUCCGCCACACUGGGACUGAGACACGGCCCAGACUCCUACGGGAGGCAGCAGUGGGGAAUCUUCCGCAAUGGACGAAAGUCUGACGGAGCAACGCCGCGUGAGUGAAGAAGGCCUUCGGGUUGUAGAGCUCUUUCAGCCGGGAAGAAAGCGCACUCUCUAACAUAGGGUGUGGAUGACGGUACCAGAAGAAGAAGCACCGGCUAACUACGUGCCAGCAGCCGCGGUAAU
RNAcentral lists this ribosomal RNA (434 nucleotides) under uncultured bacterium. RNAcentral's name for it is "bacterial SSU rRNA". It matches the Rfam family "Bacterial small subunit ribosomal RNA", at positions 96 to 524 of the family's 1533-position model. The record is from RNAcentral.